AAAAAUUCUGAGUAUCGGCCUAUACCUAUAUAUUUGAUAAAAUGUUAAACAUUGCUCUUUGUAUUGUAAUGAUACAUUCAUGAAAACAAGUAAUAUAUCUAUAUAUUAAUUAAUAUACUAUAAAAUUAAAAGACAUUUCAUUUAAAUAUAUAUCACAGUAAUGAGGUAGCCACAUAUGAUAGAUAAGAAAACAAGAAAGGCCAUUAAUAAUCUUUAAUUGGGCAAAAGUAUUAUGACAUGAAAAGCUCCAAUACAGAGCGUGAUAAAUCGCCUAUGCGCAUCCCGUGUGCAGAAUGAGUCACAGCGCACAGUGCUCCACAUAGAAAAGUUCAAAGCACAAAGGGAAGAGGAUUUUGAUGCGUAGUGUAUUAUAUCUGUACGAUAGUUUAUUGAGACUUUUUUAAACAGUUUUAACUUUCAAUUACUGUGCGCAUGAAGAACAAUUUAUAGUGCUCUCUACUCCAGUGUAGUGAUCUAACAGACACCCGGUAGAAAGUAACAUGCUUUAGAAACAGCACUAAACUCCAACAAGAUAAAGUAAUUUUGUGCAAAACCAUUGAUCUUUGUAUAUAGAUCAAUAUACUAAUAGUCAAGUCAAGUAAAGUCAAUAGUGCUUUUAACAAUACAGCUUGGAAUAGGAAAUUCCAAUUAAAUAGGAAAAUAAUGUGUCAAUAAUAAAAAAUGACAAUAGUAAACACUAAAUUUUCAGUUAAAGGCAGUUUAUCAUUGAAUUCAGUGAUGUCAUCAUCCAGCUCAGUUCAGUUUAAAUAUUAUCUGUGCAAUCAAGUCAACAAUAUUGCUGGAAAUGAAGUGUCCCCAACUAAGCAAGCCAGAGGCGACAGCGGCAAGGAACCAAAACUCCAUCGGUGACAGAAUGGAGAAAAAACCUUGGGAGAAACCAGGCUCAGUCGGGGGCCAGUUCUCCUCUGACCAGACAAAACAAGCAGUUCAAUUCCAGGCUGCAGGAAAGUCACAUUGUGCAAAGGACUCAUCUGAUUCCAGUGGUCUUGUCCUGGUGGCCGUCUAGGAGACAAGGUCUUUACUGGGGAUCUGUCUCUGGGGCGCAUCUAGUUGACGCAGCGUCUCGUUCCCUAUUCUCAGGGAACCAUGGUUACAUGCGUAACCUGAGACGUUUCCACUAACAUUCAGGGCUGUCGAGGUCAUCUCUAGGUGCUGAUCCACCAUCUGGACUAGAUACGCACUGGAUCCGGGUGACUGCAGUGAUCAUCUGAUCUGGAUACAGACUGGAUCUGGUGGCUACGAUAACCUUGGAAUAAGAAAGAAACAGACCAAUAUUAGUGUAAUUAGUAAUAAGCAAGAUUUUUAAAUCUAUACGAUGUUUAAUAGGAAGCUAGUGCAGUGUUGACAGAACUGGGCUAAUAUGGUCAUACUUCCUGGUUCUAGUAAGAAUUCUAACUGUUGCAUUUUGGACCAGCUGGAGUUUGUUUAUUAAGCGUGCAGAAAAAGCACCCAAAUAAAGCAUUACAAUAAUCAAACGUUGAGGUCAUGAACACAUGAAUUAACGUUUCUGCAUUUGACAUUGAAAGCAUAGGUCGUAAUUUAUAUAUAUUUUUGAGAUGGAAAAAUUAAGUUUUACAAAUGCUAGAAACGUGGCUUUCAAAGAAAAUAUUGGUAUCAAAUAGCACACCUAGGUUCCUAACUGAUGACGAAGAAUUGACAGAGCAGCCAUCGAUUCUUUGACAGUGUUCUAGGUUAUUUCAUGCAGAGGUUUUAGGUCCGAUAAUUAACACCUCUGUUUUUUCAUAAUUCAGCAGUAAGAAAUUACUCAUCAUCCAGUUUUUUAAAUCGACUAUGCAUUCUGUUUUUCAAAUUGGUAUGUUUCGCUGGGUCGUGAAGUUAUAUAAAGCUGAGUGUCAUCAGCAUAACAAAUCUAACACUGUGUUUCCUGAUGAUAUCUCCCAGGGGUAACAUGUUAAGCGUGAAAAGUAACGGCCCUAUUACUGAGCCUUGAGGAACUCCAUACUGCACUUGUGAUCGAUAUGAUACCUCUUCAUUCACUGCUACGAAUUGAUGACGGUCAGAAAAGUAUGAUAUGAACCAUGCUAAUGAACUUCCACUAAUGCCAACAAAGUUUUCUAGUCUAUGCAAGAGAAUGUUGUGGUCAACGGUGUCGAACGCAGUGCUAAGGUCCAGUAGCACUAAUAGAGAGAUAAAACCACGAUCAGAUGAUAACAGCAGUUCAUUUGUAACGCUAAUGAGAGGAGUCUCAGUACUAUGAUAUGGUAUAAAUCCUGACUGGAAAUCCUCACAGAUACCAUUUUUCUCUAAGAAGGAAUAUAAUUGUAAGGGAAACUACCUUUCGUAGUAUCUUGGACAGAAAAGGGAGAUUCGAGAUUGUUUCUCUGUUUUGUAAUUAAACAGAUUGUUUCUCUGUUUUGUAAUUAACCAGUUAUUUGGGGUCAAGAUGUGUUUUUUUUUUUUUAACAAAAAGGCUUAAUAACAGCCAGUUUGAAGGUUUUGGGGACAUUUCCUAAUGACAAUGACGAAUUAAUAAUAGUCAGAAGAGGAUCUAUGACUUCUGGAAGCACCUCUUUUAGGAGCUUAGAUGGAAUAGGGUCUAACAUGUACAUGUUAUUGGUUUAGAUGAUUUAACAAGUUUAUACAAUUCUUCCUCUCCUAAAGUAGAGAAUGAGUGGAAUUGUGGAAUUCAAUUCAAUUCAAGUUUAUUUGUAUAGCGUUUUUUACAACACAAAUCAUUGCAAAGCAACUUUACUGAAAAUUACGUUUCUACAAUAUUUAGUAGUAGCUUAUCAGUGAUGACUGUGAGUUUAUGUGCAUACGGCAGAAAUGUUCGGAAAAAUCAAUAAAAGACAUAAACAAACAGACGAUUAACACUAUUAACAGCAAUUAUGCAAUCAAACUUAUAGCGAAAUAUGGUAGUUCUGUAUGUUGUCUCUGGGUUAGCAUCAUCUGAGGUCCUCUAAAGGGGUUGGUAUCAUCUCUUCUCAGGUGUUCUGGAUCCAGACUGGAGCUUGUGUAAAUCCUAGUUACCACGGGAUGUAAAUCCCAAGGCAAAACAGAGAAACAGAUAGAGACAUAAUUAGCAUAGCUGCUGUUCCAGCCAAGUAAAAUUAAUUACAGUAGUUUAACCCAAGCUAAAGAAUAAUGAUGUGGAUUUGAUCAGAUAUAACUGCAGUCCAAAAUUAUGAGAUGCAUU
Cyprinus carpio carpio is the source of this 3178-nucleotide long non-coding RNA. NCBI's taxonomy places the organism in Eukaryota, Metazoa, Chordata, Actinopteri, Cypriniformes, Cyprinidae. The record is from Ensembl.